UCCCUCUAUAAAGCUCACUUGGCCGGCCACUCCACCUCCCUUUGCUCUCAUUUUUCACUCCCCACUCCUUCCUCCACUCACUCCCAUCCCUCUCCUACCUCUUCUCCACGAGCUGCUGCUCCCCCUUGCUCACAUGGCCGGCCAUGGCCAUGAAGAUCCACCAAGAUGAAGCUCCCCUCCUCCCUCAAGCUUCCCCUCACCAUGAGAGCAUCCCUCUCCUUCUUCUCCCCAACCCUAGAUGGAUUUCUCUCCUCUUCCUCUUCCUCCAUUGCUAAGAUUGGAUCUUGAUGCAGGUGCAUGUUGGUCCAGGCAUGGAGAAGCUUGAGCUAUCCUCAGAUCUGAAGUUCUUGAGCAAAAUCCAAAUCGAGUGAUUCAAAGUUCCGCAGAUAGAUACGGAAAAGAUCUACAACUUGGCGUUGGUCUCAUCCUCAAAUUCGUUACGGAUUGUCCGUGGUGAAAGCCCUCUUCAAUACCUUCAUUUUGGCGGUGGUUUCACCUCGAUUGACCUCCUGAAACUGAAAUGGUUCACAGGUCAAGAUCUGGUCAGAUCUGACUUUGUCGAAUUAAACCAGGAGCAUGGGAAUGAAUUUUUGAAUGAAACCAAUUGGGGGAUACUUAGUUGUGCCAUGGUGAUACCGAGAGAGGCAAUUGCUAAGUCGUGGCACUCUCAUACCUCUACUAGAUGCAAACAAUUCCGGAGAAGAAGAAGAAGUGGAAUCGGACGAGGAUUUUAUUUAUGUUGUUGGGAUUGUUAUAUUGAUGGAGUUGAAGAAGUCCAGGGACAAAUAAGCCAAGGCAAGCCAUCUAUUGAUCUCUGAU
This is a non-coding RNA of Lolium perenne, 819 nucleotides long. The record is from RefSeq and is a predicted model, not a curated record. Lineage: Eukaryota; Viridiplantae; Streptophyta; Magnoliopsida; Poales; Poaceae.